GGGCCCGCACAAGCGGUGGAGCAUGUGGUUUAAUUCGAUGAUACGCGAGGAACCUUACCAGGGCUUAAAUGGGAAAUGACAGGGGCAGAGACGCCCCCUUCUUCGGACUACUUACAAGGUGCUGCAUGGUUGUCGUCAGCUCGUGCCGUGAGGUGUCAGGUUAAGUCCUAUAACGAGCGCAACCCCUAUCGUUAGUUGCCAGCAGUUCGGCUGGGCACUCUAUGGAAACUGCCCGUGAUAAGCGGGAGGAAGGUGUGGAUGACGUCAAGUCCUCAUGGCCCUUACGGGUUGGGCUACACACGUGCUACAAUGGUGGUGACAAUGGGUUAAUCCCAAAAGCCAUCUCAGUUCGGAUUGGGGUCUGCAACUCGACCCCAUG
Molecule: ribosomal RNA, 379 nt
Filed under: uncultured bacterium
Lineage: Bacteria
Description: bacterial SSU rRNA
Rfam family: Bacterial small subunit ribosomal RNA
Source: RNAcentral